AAGUCGUAACAAGGUUUCCGUAGGUGAACCUGCGGAAGGAUCAUUAACAAUGAUACACCCAUGUAUGUGAACCAAACGCUUUCCGCUGGUAGGAGGGCAACCAUCUCUUGGUGGUUGCCGCCUAUCAGAUUUUGAUACCACCUCUUCUAUUAUCCUUCUGACAUUAUGCCUAUGAAUUAUCCAUACAACUUUUAGCAACGGAUCUCUAGGCUCUC
Molecule: unclassified non-coding RNA, 215 nt
Filed under: fungal sp.
Lineage: Eukaryota; Fungi
Description: partial internal transcribed spacer region
Rfam family: Eukaryotic small subunit ribosomal RNA (bases 1-46)
Source: RNAcentral